This 433-nucleotide ribosomal RNA is filed under the name uncultured bacterium. RNAcentral describes it as "partial 16S ribosomal RNA". It matches the Rfam family "Bacterial small subunit ribosomal RNA", at positions 29 to 507 of the family's 1533-position model. The record is from RNAcentral.
AACGAACGCUGGCGGCAUGCCUAACACAUGCAAGUCGAACGAGACCUUCGGGUCUAGUGGCGCACGGGUGCGUAACGCGUGGGAACCUGCCCUUAGGUUCGGAAUAACUCCCCUAAAGGGGUGCUAAUACCGGAUAAUGUCUUCGGACCAAAGAUUUAUCGCCUUUGGAUGGGCCCGCGUUGGAUUAGCUAGUUGGUAGGGUAAAAGCCUACCAAGGAGACGAUCCAUAGCUGGUCUGAGAGGAUGAUCAGCCACACUGGGACUGAGACACGGCCCAGACUCCUACGGGAGGCAGCAGUGGGGAAUAUUGGACAACGGGCGAAAGCCUGAUCCAGCAAUGCCGCGUGAGUGAUGAAGGCCUUAGGGUUGUAAAGCUCUUUUACCCGGGAUGAUAAUGACAGUACCGGGAGAAUAAGCUCCGGCUAACUCCGUG